CUCCUGUCUCCCUCCUCCCCUCCCACCAACUUCUGUUCUUCUCUUUGGUUCCAAUCAAGCUGGAAUUCAGAAUGAGACCAGAUAGUAUCAGGAUACUUAAAGCUGGAAACAACCUUGGAGAACAUUUACUCCAAUCACCUCAUUUUGCAGAAGAAAGAAUUGAAACUUAAGACUUGCAGAUAGUAAGGAGCAAAGCCAGGAUUCAAAACCAGGAUAGGGUGAGAGAGAAGAUUUUGCCACCCAAUAGCAUCUUCUAGCAGAAGUACAAGGCAACAUCUUAAGGAACAAGAGUCCAGUUGAAGAAAUGAAUCGAAUUGGGAUGAGAAAAAGUGCCUGGAGCUUGGAGUCUAUUGAAGAAAUGACUGCCUGACAGCCAAGAAUUCUUUUCACAUUAGAGUAUGGUUUCUGGUUCUUUCCCAAUAACCACGAGUAAGUAAACAAGCAUUUAUUGAGAGAUGGCCAUACUGCUAAGCACAUAAUUGUUUCCUAGAUCUGGAUUUUUGCUAAGACUGAAGCUUGAUAUGGUGGUGAUCACAGCCAAACAUUAGGCCAGUGACGGGCAACCUUUUGAGCUUGGUGUGUCAAAAUUCACCAAAAAACCAAGCAUAACUCAGGUGGUGUGUCACUUUGAGGAAAAAAAACCAUAACUUUGUGGCAUUUAUAGUUUAAAUAACAAAAAUGUAUAAUUAUAAUAUAAAAUUGUAUUUAAUAAAACCAAAAACUAAUUAUUU
Molecule: long non-coding RNA, 731 nt
Filed under: Monodelphis domestica (gray short-tailed opossum)
Lineage: Eukaryota; Metazoa; Chordata; Mammalia; Didelphimorphia; Didelphidae
Description: lncRNA (ENSMODG00000045962.1)
Source: RNAcentral